UAAUACGAGGGGUGCUAGCGUUGUCCGGAUUUACUGGGCGUAAAGGGUACGUAGGCGUUUUAAUAAGUUGUAUGUUAAAUAUCUUAGCUUAACUAAGAAAGUGCAUCCAAAACUGUUAAAAUAGAGUUUGAGAGAGGAACGCAGAAUUCAUGGUGGAGCGGUGACAUGCGUAGAUAUCAUGAGGAAAGUCAAAUGCGAAGGCAGCCUUCUGGCUCAAAACUGACGCUGAGGUACGAAAGCGUGGGGAGCGAACAGGAUUAGAUACCCUGGUAGUCCACGCCGUAAACGAUGAGUAUUUGGUGCUGGGGGAUUCGACCCUUUCAGUGCCGUAGCUAACGCGAUAAAUACUCCGCCUGGGGACUACGAUCGCAAGAUUG
Molecule: ribosomal RNA, 377 nt
Filed under: uncultured bacterium
Lineage: Bacteria
Description: bacterial SSU rRNA
Rfam family: Bacterial small subunit ribosomal RNA
Source: RNAcentral